AGAUUGAACGCUGGCGGCAGGCCUAACACAUGCAAGUCGAGCGGUAGAGAGGUGCUUGCACCUCUUGAGAGCGGCGGACGGGUGAGUAAUGCCUAGGAAUCUGCCUAGUGGUGGGGGAUAACGUUCGGAAACGGACGCUAAUACCGCAUACGUCCUACGGGAGAAAGCGGGGGACCUUCGGGCCUCGCGCCAUUAGAUGAGCCUAGGUCGGAUUAGCUAGUUGGUGAGGUAAUGGCUCACCAAGGCGACGAUCCGUAACUGGUCUGAGAGGAUGAUCAGUCACACUGGAACUGAGACACGGUCCAGACUCCGUACGGGA
Molecule: ribosomal RNA, 319 nt
Filed under: uncultured soil bacterium
Lineage: Bacteria
Description: bacterial SSU rRNA
Rfam family: Bacterial small subunit ribosomal RNA
Source: RNAcentral